RNAcentral lists this ribosomal RNA (200 nucleotides) under uncultured bacterium. Its description in RNAcentral is "partial 16S ribosomal RNA". It matches the Rfam family "Bacterial small subunit ribosomal RNA", at positions 524 to 724 of the family's 1533-position model. The record is from RNAcentral.
UACGGAGGGAGCUAGCGUUGUUCGGAAUUACUGGGCGUAAAGCGCGCGUAGGCGGCUUUGUAAGUUAGAGGUGAAAGCCCGGGCUCAACCCCGGAAUUGCCUUUAAGACUGCAUCGCUUGAAUCCGGGAGAGGUGAGUGGAAUUCCUGGUGUAGCGGUGAAAUGCGCAGAUAUUAGGAAGAACACCGGUGGCGAAGGCGG